GUCUACCGCCAUGCCACCCUGAACGUGCCCAAUCUCAUCUGAUCUUGAAAGCUAAGCAGGGUUGGGCCUGGUUAGUACUUGGAUGGGAGACCACCUUGGAAUACCAGAUGCUGUAGGCA
This is a non-coding RNA of Pteropus alecto (black flying fox), 119 nucleotides long. The record is from Rfam. NCBI's taxonomy places the organism in Eukaryota, Metazoa, Chordata, Mammalia, Chiroptera, Pteropodidae.